AGUGAACGCUGGCGGUAGGCCUAACACAUGCAAGUCGAACGGCAGCACAGUAAGAGCUUGCUCUUACGGGUGGCGAGUGGCGGACGGGUGAGGAAUACAUCGGAAUCUACUUUUUCGUGGGGGAUAACGUAGGGAAACUUACGCUAAUACCGCAUACAACCUACGGGUGAAAGCAGGGGAUCUUCGGACCUUGCGCGAUUGAAUGAGCCGAUGUCGGAUUCGCUAGUUGGCGGGGUAAAGGCCCACCAAGGCGACGAUCCGUAGCUGGUCUGAGGGGAUGAUCAGCCACACGGGAACUGAGACACGGUCCAGACCCCUACGGGAGGCAGCAGUGGGGAAUAUUGGACAAUGGGCGCAAGCCUGAUCCAGCCAUACCGCGUGGGUGAAGAAGGCCUUCGGGUUGUAAAGCCCUUUUGUUGGGAAAGAAAAGCAGCAGGUUAAUACCCCGCUGUUCUGACGGUACCCAAAGAAUAAGCACCGGCUAACUUCGUG
This 492-nucleotide ribosomal RNA is filed under the name uncultured bacterium. Its description in RNAcentral is "partial 16S ribosomal RNA". It matches the Rfam family "Bacterial small subunit ribosomal RNA", at positions 29 to 507 of the family's 1533-position model. The record is from RNAcentral.